Molecule: ribosomal RNA, 252 nt
Filed under: uncultured bacterium
Lineage: Bacteria
Description: partial 16S ribosomal RNA
Rfam family: Bacterial small subunit ribosomal RNA
Source: RNAcentral
UACGGAGGAUACGAGCGUUAUCCGGAUUUAUUGGGUUUAAAGGGUGCGUAGGCGGGCUUUUAAGUCAGCGGUAAAAAUUCGGGGCUCAACCCCGUCCGGCCGUUGAAACUGGGGGUCUUGAGUGGGCUAGAAGAAGGCGGAAUGCGUGGUGUAGCGGUGAAAUGCAUAGAUAUCACGCAGAACCCCGAUUGCGAAGGCAGCCUUCCGGCGCCCUACUGACGCUGAGGCACGAAAGUGCGGGGAUCGAACAGG